Molecule: RNA transcript, 1680 nt
Organism: Malania oleifera
Lineage: Eukaryota; Viridiplantae; Streptophyta; Magnoliopsida; Santalales; Ximeniaceae
Gene name: protein LOW PSII ACCUMULATION 1, chloroplastic
Exons: 6
Source: RefSeq, a predicted model, not a curated record
GGCACUUCCAUGAUCACCCAACAAGCCGAAGCCUCCCUCCCGGUGGGUUGGUGGUGGGGCUGAAAAUCUCCAUAAUCCGCUGAUUUUAGGUUCCAAGGUUCUUCUUGGCUCCGGCGGACCAGGCCAUGGCGUCACUGCUGCACGUUUCCUGCAGUCUGCAAUUCCCCAACUUUCAUAACAACAAAACCACCAUUGGCACUUCAAGAAUUUGCUUCCGCAGUAACACUAGCAGCCACAGAAAGGCCCUGUUUUCCUUUAUGGAUGGACGCGUUCCUGCCUCACGGAGCAGUUUGCGGAACUCCUCCACCAUCACCUGUUCCGCUGCCAAUAGGCCCUCUCCUUCAGAGAUUAGUUCAGCAGCCAAGAUAAGGAAUGAAGUACUAUCUCCUUUCCGCUCUGUCCGGAUGUUCUUUUAUCUUGCUUUCAUUGCUAGUGGUGCUUUGGGUGGACUAAUAGCAACAACACAAUUGAUUGCUGCACUUGCAAAUUCAUCAAGAGCAGCUGAAGUCCCUGAGAUUCUGAAGGGUCUUGGCAUAGACUUAGGAGCAGUCUCCAUCUUUGCAUUCCUCUAUUACAGGGAGGACAAAGUUAAAACUGCACAAUUAGCUAGACUUUCGAGGGAAGAAAGCCUUUCAAAUCUUAAGCUCCGUGUGGAUCAAAAGAAGGUUAUUUCUGUCAGCUCUUUGAGAGGAAUUGCUCGCCUUGUUGUUGUUGCUGGUCCUGCAUCCUUUAUUUCCGAGUCUUUCAAAUUUAGCCAGCCUUUCACUGACAGCCUUUUAGAUCGAGGAGUUCUUGUAGUGCCUUUUGCUACGGAUGGGAGUUCACCCAGUUUUGAGUUUGAUGAGACUGAGGAAAUGAAGGACAUUACCAAUAGAAGGAAGAGACUCUGGCAGCUUUCUCCUGUUUAUGUUCCUGAGUGGUCCAAGUGGUUAGAUGAACAAAAGAGGCUGGCCGGUGUUCCCCCAGAUUCUCCUGUGUAUAUGUCUCUACGCAUGGAUGGCCGUGUCCGUGGCAGUGGUGUUGGUUAUCCUCCAUGGAAUGCUUUUGUUGCACAGCUACCACCUUUAAAGGGAGUCUGGUCAGGCCUUCUUGAUGGCAUGGAUGGCAGAGUUCUCUAAAGAAAAUGUUAUGUAUAUCUGUUCAUGAAGAUUUUGCUUGAAGAACUGCAUUUUAGAUCCAGGAGGAUAAGUCUGAGCCGGUCUGGGUUCACUAACGAAUGCUAAGAUACCUAACCAAAUUGAAAUUCACGAGAAGCAAGAAAACAAGUUCAGAGUCAAUGUGGAUGCACAUAUUGUCAGGUGAUCGAACUUUGCCACAGCAGAAAUGUAUUUGAAACCAGAGUUUGCUAAAUUUUCUGCUAGAGCAUUUCUCAUCGCACAUGUUCUCCAUGUAUGAGCAGCACUGACAAAUUGAUCAUUUUCGUUCUCAUAAUAUCGUAUCAGCCGGGCUGGCCAGAAAGAUCAUGAAGCAGACUUCCCAAUUUUCCCUCUAAUUCUUGGUUGCCAAAUAAAGCUCGUGAGAAAAAUCUAGCAGGUUUUCUCAGAGAUACUAAAUGAUUUGACAUUGGGUUUGUAUGUUUUAGUAUGGUCCAUUAACAGGCAGGAGAGAGAUUUGGUAUUUUAGCAGCAGUACUAAUGAUUGAAGGAGGAAUUCUAAGACGAGAGAAGUCACUGAAGCAAA